UGAUUGAUGGUGUAAAGGUAACACUACUGAUUUUGGUUCAGUCAUUGUAGGUUCGAAUCCUGCUCAAUCAA
This 71-nucleotide transfer RNA is filed under the name Caudoviricetes sp. Its description in RNAcentral is "tRNA-Gln". It matches the Rfam family "tRNA". Rfam says of the family: Transfer RNA (tRNA) molecules are approximately 80 nucleotides in length. The record is from RNAcentral. Lineage: Duplodnaviria; Heunggongvirae; Uroviricota; Caudoviricetes.